This 494-nucleotide ribosomal RNA is filed under the name uncultured bacterium. RNAcentral's name for it is "partial 16S ribosomal RNA". It matches the Rfam family "Bacterial small subunit ribosomal RNA", at positions 28 to 507 of the family's 1533-position model. The record is from RNAcentral.
GACGAACGCUGGCGGCGUGCUUAACACAUGCAAGUCGAACGGAAAGGCCUGCUUUCCCUUGUGGAUUGCGGGUACUCGAGUGGCGAACGGGUGAGUAACACGUGAGUGAUCUGCCCCCAACUUGGGUAUAAGCCUGGGAAACUGGGUCUAAUUCCCGACAGGACUGCAGGGUGGUGCCUGUGGUGGAAAACGAUUUUCUAGUGGUUGGGGAUGAGCUCGCGGCCUAUCAGCUUGUUGGUGGGGUAAUGGCCUACCAAGGCGGCGACGGGUAGCCGGCCUGAGAGGGUGGACGGCCACAUUGGGACGGAGAUACGGCCCAGACUCCUACGGGAGGCAGCAGUGGGGAAUAUUGCACAAUGGGCGGAAGCCUGAUGCAGCGACGCCGCGUGGGGGAUGACGGCCUUCGGGUUGUAAACUCCUUUCGACCGCGAGGAAGCCACCUGGUUGGAAGGGUGGUGACGGUAGUGGUAGAAGAAGCACCGGCUAACUACGUG